RNAcentral lists this long non-coding RNA (2655 nucleotides) under Glycine max (soybean). RNAcentral's name for it is "long non-coding RNA (GMAX_LNC002801)". Lineage: Eukaryota; Viridiplantae; Streptophyta; Magnoliopsida; Fabales; Fabaceae. The record is from RNAcentral.
GCUUCUAGUGGAUGAGUUUCUAAGUGAAACUUUCGCAACACCUUGACUCCUUCACAUCAAACCUUCCCGCGCUACGUUGCUCGUGAAUGAGUGUUUUAGCUUUUGAGAACCCAAAGGUCAUUGCGGUGACAAGGAGAUCUAUCACUUUCCAGGUUCGUGUUCUUUGAUGCCUAACGUUUUUUGUUUAACAAGAUAUAGGGUUUGUUGCUUGAAUUCCUGUUCAUAUUUUGAUUUCGUUGAUUUGUCUUCUUUUUAUUUUCAUUUAUGUUUGGAAGUACAUAUUACCUUUUGAGUGGUGAUUUUUAACUCUAAUGAAUUUGAAAUUCCAUGGUUCACAAAGGUGAGAUUGACGGGACUUGAAAUUCCAUGGUUCACAACCUAAAAUAAACCCUAUUUCUCAUUUGCUUCUAGUAUUCUGCCAACAAGCUCUGGCUUAGAGUUUAGAGUAGGGAAUAACUUAAAUUUCAAAACAUUUAAUUGCUUUAUGGAAGGGGGAAUGUGAAUAAUAAUUAAGAAAGAAAACAUGUAGGCUAAUUGGAAGAACAAUGGUUAUAGGUGAAUAUUUAUGGGUUGGGGGUUCAACUAGUUGUAUAAUAUUCAUUGCCUUCUACAUAAGUGAUUUUAUUCUUUAUUUUAUUGUGUGGCGGAAUUGGAAUUUUUUGCUGGGGAAAGUGGAAGCUAAGCACGUAGAACAGAACAGAACAGAGGAAUGGAAUAAAAGAAGAGAGGUUAAGGCUAAAAGAGUAGUGUAUUUAUUAGGGAAGAAAAGAAAAUUCUAAAUUUCUAAUAGCAUGGUGUGGCACAUUCCCGUAAUUAUUGGAAACUAGAGUGUCCUGUUUAGUCUCAUAAUUCGAAAUGUAUGAUCAUGAUUUGAUUGCUACACUUUCAAAAAUCAAAAUCUAUUCUUAUCUUUUGGUUACUCACCUGAUACACUGCAAGCUCUUCUGUGAAAAAAAUAUACUAUGAACUAUGAAUUUUGAUUUUGAUUUCACUUUAUCUUUUUAUUUUUUUCCGUUGGAGUUGGUUUUAUAUGGUUGAGAAUUGUGUCACUGCAAAAUUCAGGUUGCUUAUUGAGGAAUUUGUCUGAAUAAGUUUGCUAUUCUUGGUGUUAUUGGGCUGAAAUCAAUUCAGGGUCGUACUUUUCUAAUUUAGCAUUGGACUUUUGAUUAAGCAAUUGAGAUUGAGGUAAGAGUAGAUAAAAUGAAAUACAUGAUUGGCCAAUGCCAUGUGGUUUGAUUGAAUUAGAUUAGUUAUUUUAUUUAUUUCUAUCAUAUAAUAGUGCUUGUUUUUGUAGGAUGCCUCACACUUUUGUACUAUUGUAUAUUCUUCUUUGUGCAAAUUACUUGUUUGAUAGAGAUAAAAUUGGAAAGCUUUCCAGAAUCAAAUUGUCAGAUGUUUUGAUUUUCAUGUUAAUUUCUAGUUUUAGAUAACAGGAAUUUACCAAAAGGAUGAUUAAUAAAUCUACUGACUGCACAGUUUUCUUUUCCUAUAGGAGAUCAUAUGUAACUUACAUACAAAGCAAAGAAGUUUGAGUUAUAUAAAACCAUGACAAGUAACAAAAUUUUCUCAAGUACUUGAAGUAACUCUAUGCUUACAACUUAUAAUUAUUAACUAAACUAAAAUAAUCUUGAUCCACACAUUUAUCAUUACUGUGUAUGCAGUCUAAAGCAAUCAAAUAUACAAUAAUAACUUCGUGUCUAUUGAUGCAUAUGCUGAAUAUCACUUCAUAGACAGUUUAAAAGCAACACAGUAGUAGUGCAUGGUAUAUAUGGGAUAUUUCCCUAAUUAGCCGAAGACUAGUUUUUUUUUUUUUUUUUUGCGGUUCAGUUGAGUAAAUUAGAGUACCAAAUGGGCCGAAAAGUAAUUAAGUGUUGUUUUCUGGUGUUGAAAUUUUGGGCUUAUAAUUAAAUGCAGAGUAUACAGUUAUCCGCUGCAUACAUUUGAUAAAAAAUUCUCUUAUCAUGACACAGAUAGGGACACUACUAACUUAAAUUGUUUUGUUUUGUUUUGUUAAAACUUCGCAAUCUGCUUAAGCAUUUGAAAAGAGAAUGAUUCUAAUAUAUAAUCAGUCUUCAAAGCUGAAAUUGCUAUAUUUAUUUGUUUAUUUUGUCAAUACGUAUAUGCUACAAUCUACUAGGCACAAUGCAUGCAUUCCUAUCUGACAAUCAACAUCUCAGAUCAAACAUGGUUCAAUAUAAAAUAUCCUGUUUCUUCUAUGUAUCAUUUUUAGAAAUCUCCUUCAAUCAGAUAUCUUAUAUAAAUUUAUAAGAUAUCUGUUUCAGACCAAUUUAUAAGAUAUUUGAUCCCACUACACAGAUCCACUAAAAUUUUGCUUCUACUAUUCCUUCAAUCAGGUCUUUUUCACUUUUUGCCUAGUCUCAUUCCAUGACAUAAACAUGAAUCUCCUUUUUACUACUAUUCCUUCAAUCAUGUCUUUUUUAACUUUAGCCUAGUCUCAGUCCAUGAUAUAAAGAUGAAUCUAAUACAGGGAAAUUGGUGGAAUAUGAUGAGCCUUCAAGACUAAUGGACACCAACUCUUCAUUCUCUAAGCUGGUAGCCAAAUAUUCUACUAUAGAGAAAAGUAAAUCAUUUAUAUAUUAUUAGGAAUGAUAAAUAUCGCAGUCACUAGCUUAACAAUGAAGUGAUGGUAAAUCA